RNAcentral lists this ribosomal RNA (497 nucleotides) under uncultured bacterium. RNAcentral's name for it is "partial 16S ribosomal RNA". It matches the Rfam family "Bacterial small subunit ribosomal RNA", at positions 28 to 507 of the family's 1533-position model. The record is from RNAcentral.
GAUGAACGCUGGCGGCGUGCCUAAUACAUGCAAGUCGAGCGAACAGACGAGGAGCUUGCUCCUCUGACGUUAGCGGCGGACGGGUGAGUAACACGUGGAUAACCUACCUAUAAGACUGGGAUAACUUCGGGAAACCGGAGCUAAUACCGGAUAAUAUAUUGAACCGCAUGGUUCAAUAGUGAAAGACGGUUUUGCUGUCACUUAUAGAUGGAUCCGCGCCGCAUUAGCUAGUUGGUAAGGUAACGGCUUACCAAGGCAACGAUGCGUAGCCGACCUGAGAGGGUGAACGGCCACACUUGAACGGAGACACGGUCCAGACUCCUACGGGAGGCAGCAGUAGGGAAUCUUCCGCAAUGGGCGAAAGCCUGACGGAGCAACGCCGCGUGAGUGAUGAAGGUCUUCGGAUCGUAAAACUCUGUUAUUAGGGAAGAACAAAUGUGUAAGUAACUAUGCACGUCUUGACGGUACCUAAGCAGAAAGCCACGGCUAACUACGUG